UACGUAGGGUGCAAGCGUUACUCGGAAUUACUGGGCGUAAAGCGUGCGCAGGCGGUUAUGCAAGGCAGAUGUGAAAUCCCCGGGCUCAACCUGGGAACUGCAUUUGUGACUGCAUAGCUGGAGUGCGGCAGAGGGGGAUGGAAUUCCGCGUGUAGCAGUGAAAUGCGUAGAUAUGCGGAGGAACACCGAUGGCGAAGACAAUCCCCUGGGCCUGCACUGACGCUCAUGCACGAAAGCGUGGGGAGCAAACAGG
This 253-nucleotide ribosomal RNA is filed under the name uncultured bacterium. RNAcentral describes it as "partial 16S ribosomal RNA". It matches the Rfam family "Bacterial small subunit ribosomal RNA", at positions 524 to 776 of the family's 1533-position model. The record is from RNAcentral.